AAAUUUCUUUUUAGUUUAUUUAGAAUGCUUGCCUUCCAAGCAGGAGGUUCUCUUAUCAGAGAAAAAGAAAAAAAAGUAAAAUUAAAAAUUUGAAAAACCAAUUAAAAAAAAACAUUUUUCUAAAGAAAAAAUAAACUAAAUAUUUUGGUAAAUUAUCUUCCCUUUUGUAUCAUGGUUCAAUAAAUUAUUUAUUAUUAUUUAUAUUCCCCGAAUUUUCAGGAUUAUUUUUUGUUUUGUUUUGAACUAAUAUAUUAAAAGGUAUUUUUAUUAAAAAACAAAAAAGGCAUAGAAAAUAUAAUCAGCUGGGAAAAUAUCUGGGUGGAGUAGUUAAUUUCUGAUUAUUUGUAUAGGUUAAUCUUGUACAAAAUGUAAUAGAUAAGUUAUAUAAAAUUUACUGUUUAAAGUGAAAAGUGCUUGUAAUUAAAAAGUUUUAUAACUAUAUUAAAGUUAUAUUAAUAUCUUUUAAAACUAACUUUUACCAAAUUAAUUUAUAUGUUGUUGGAAUAAGUAAAUUAAAAUAACAAAUAGGAACUCAAUAUUUUUACAACUGUUUAUCAAAAACAUUUCCUUUAGAAAAUACUUAAAGGUAUUGCCUGCCCAAUGUUAAAUUAUUAAUGGCUGCGGUAUCUUAACUGCACUAAGGUAGCAUAAUUAAUUGUCUUUUAAAUGGUGACCUGUUUGAACGGCUUAAUGAGAAAAAGAUUUUCUUUUUGUUAAAAUAAAAUUAUAUUUUAAGGUUAAAAUACCUGAAUAAAAAAGAAAGACGAGAAGACCCUGUUGAGUUUUACAGUUUUAAACUGUUAAAAUGGGAAAUUUAGCUUUUUAUUAAAGUUUCUUUUUUGAUCCUAUAUUUUUAAAGUAUGGAAAAAGGAUAAAGUUACCACAGGGAUAACAGGAUAAUAUUUACUGAGAGUUCUAAUUAAAGUAAAUGAUUAUUACCUCGAUGUUGAAUCGAAAUAUCUUAAUGAUGCAGAAGUUAUUAGAGUAGGUCUGUUCGACCUUUAAUAUUUCACGUGAUUUGAGUUAAAACCGGCGUGAGCCAGGUUGGUUUCUAUCUUCUAAAGUUCGAUUUUUGUACGAAAGGAAUUGAUCGGAUGGAAAAGCCC
This 1106-nucleotide ribosomal RNA is filed under the name Pseudostylochus intermedius. Its description in RNAcentral is "16S rRNA". The stretch from base 758 to 1060 matches the Rfam family "Bacterial large subunit ribosomal RNA", at positions 2074 to 2646 of the family's 2925-position model. Lineage: Eukaryota; Metazoa; Platyhelminthes; Polycladida; Callioplanidae. The record is from RNAcentral.